Long non-coding RNA from Anser brachyrhynchus (Pink-footed goose), 363 nucleotides. Lineage: Eukaryota; Metazoa; Chordata; Aves; Anseriformes; Anatidae. The record is from Ensembl.
GCUCUCAUUUAAGAAGACCCAGGAAGGGCCCUCGUUGUACCUGGCAGGGACGUGCCCGGUGUGGCAGAGCGUGCCGCCGGCUGUCAGCCGUUCCCUGUAGCUCGGGUGUCCUGCAGCUGCUCUCCUGCAGUGCAUCAUUUGGACAACUUACAAGGUGGCUUCUCCAGGGUAGACAUAGAUACACGCAUGUCUGAAGACCAACAGAAGACCAGCUGGUGGGAUCGUAAAGACAACUUUCCUACAAAUGUUACAGACACAAUACCAGGAACACGGGAAGAUUGAUACUUGGCAAGAUGAUGGACUUCAAAAAUAACUUUGGAUUCUCUGACCUGCUUCACUAAUGCACGCUGCAGUAAAACCAGG